UUUUGAAAACCUGAACCCAUGGUAUGCCAGAUCCGCCACAAAUACAAGGAUUCUACUGUUCACACGGACAGAGUCUCCCCUGUAUUUGCACGGCGUCGCACAAGUACAAGAGUAUAACCAGGAUACAACCGCCACACUGAACAUACAGACAUCCAAUAUCUAUAUAUAUCCAUACACCAUUCAACACAGGUUCACAUUCAUGAUUUAAACAUAAAAUCACAACUAUUAGUUAAAACGUUUCCCACUCAGAAACUGGUUUUGAAAUACUAAAUUAUGAAAACUACGAAAAACCUUUUGAAAACUGUUUCCCACACGAAAACUCUCUUCUUUUUAAAAUGCUACCACGAGGGUUUUUUUUCCUUUUCACAAAAUCCACAAGUUCUAUAGUUCAUUCAAA
This 397-nucleotide long non-coding RNA is filed under the name Ananas comosus (pineapple). RNAcentral describes it as "long non-coding RNA (ACOM_LNC027980)". Lineage: Eukaryota; Viridiplantae; Streptophyta; Magnoliopsida; Poales; Bromeliaceae. The record is from RNAcentral.